GGGAUCCGGCCUGAGAGGGUGAACGGACACACUGGAACUGAGACACGGUCCAGACUCCUACGGGAGGCAGCAGUAGGGAAUAUUGCUCAAUGGGGGAAACCCUGAAGCAGCAACGCCGCGUGGAGGAUGAAGGUUUUAGGAUUGUAAACUCCUUUUGUUAGAGAAGAUAAUGACGGUAUCUAACGAAUAAGCACCGGCUUAACUCCGUGCCAGCAGCCGCGGUAAUACGGAGGGUGCAAGCCGUUACUCGGAAUCACUGGGCGUAAAGAGCGCGUAGGCGGGAUAGUCAGUCAGGUGUGAAAUCCUAUGGCUUAACCAUAGAACUGCAUUUGAAACUACUAUUCUAGAGUGUGGGAGAGGUAGGUGGAAUUCUUGGUGUAG
Molecule: ribosomal RNA, 381 nt
Filed under: Helicobacter pylori
Lineage: Bacteria; Pseudomonadati; Campylobacterota; Epsilonproteobacteria; Campylobacterales; Helicobacteraceae
Description: bacterial SSU rRNA
Rfam family: Bacterial small subunit ribosomal RNA
Source: RNAcentral